This 650-nucleotide ribosomal RNA is filed under the name Sergentia kizakiensis. RNAcentral's name for it is "partial 28S ribosomal RNA". It matches the Rfam family "Eukaryotic large subunit ribosomal RNA", at positions 435 to 947 of the family's 3401-position model. The record is from RNAcentral. Lineage: Eukaryota; Metazoa; Arthropoda; Insecta; Diptera; Chironomidae.
UAUCUAAACGGAGAAAUUCAAUACUACCCAAAAAGUAGUGUGCACUUUUCUCUUAGUAAGACGCCGUGAUUCAUUAGAAAUUGGUACGUACCGAACGUACAUUGGGUCAUCAAUAGGCCGAUGUGAAGUUUAUUCGGAACAAAUGGCGUGAUCUUUUACGGUUGCGUGUAUUGUCUGGUAAGCGCGUCGAUACCUGUAAUGACUGUCUGAUGGGUUUUAAGAACGUUAUCAUUGAUGUUACGCGCAUCACUCGCAUCACAGCGAGAACGAUAUCUGUUUGAUCAACGGCGGUUAAAUUUGGGAUACCUUUUGGACCCGUCUUGAAACACGGACCAAGGAGUCUAUCUAGUAUGCGAGUAAAUGGAUAAUUUAUGAAAUCUAUUUGCAUAAUAAACUUGACUGUUUUUCAUGGGAUUACGAUUGACAAUCAGCAAUGGUUGUCUUUCCUUCAUCCCGGGGUAUUUUUAUCAACAUAUGCUUGCAUAUGGAAAAUAUACCAUGAGCACACUGGAUACGACCCGAAAGAUGGUGAACUAUGCCUGAUCAGGUUGAAGUCAGGGGAAACCCUGAUGGAGGACCGAAGCAGUUCUGACGUGCAAAUCGAUUGUCAGAAUUGGGCAUAGGGGCGAAAGACCAAUCGAACCAUCUAG